AACGAACGCUGGCGGCAGGCCUAACACAUGCAAGUCGAACGGAUGUAGCAAUACAUUAGUGGCGCACGGGUGCGUAACACGUGGGAAUAUACCCCAGGGUAAGGAAUAAUGUCUGGAAACGGACACUAAUACCUUAUAAUGACUUUGGUCCAAAGAUUUAUCGCCCUGGGAUCAGCCCGCGCCUGAUUAGCUAGUUGGUGAGGUAAUGGCUCACCAAGGCUACGAUCAGUAGCUGGUCUGAGAGGAUGAUCAGCCGCACUGGAACUGAGACACGGUCCAGACUCCUACGGGAGGCAGCAGUGAGGAAUAUUGCACAAUGGAGGAAACUCUGAUGCAGCCAUGCCGCGUGAGUGAAGAAGGCCUUCGGGUUGUAAAGCUCUUUUAGUCGUGAAGAUAAUGACGGUAGCGACAGAAAAAGCCCCGGCUAAAUUCGUGCCAGCAGCCGCAGUAA
Molecule: ribosomal RNA, 451 nt
Filed under: uncultured bacterium
Lineage: Bacteria
Description: partial 16S ribosomal RNA
Rfam family: Bacterial small subunit ribosomal RNA
Source: RNAcentral